Bombus pascuorum is the source of this 3754-nucleotide long non-coding RNA. RefSeq lists it as uncharacterized. The record is from RefSeq and is a predicted model, not a curated record. Lineage: Eukaryota; Metazoa; Arthropoda; Insecta; Hymenoptera; Apidae. The transcript is spliced from 2 exons.
AUGGCGUUUUAAGUUAGGUUGUAAUUGAACCAUUAAGGAACAAAUUGUAGAAUAAUGCGUAAAAGCUACUUGAAUUCAAUAUUCUUUUACAAUAAUAAAUUUGAAGAUCUAAAAAUUUGAAAUUUUGAAAAUUGAAGAUAUAAAAGAUUUAAAAAUAAAAUAUGUUAACGCAGCCUUGACGCUUGAUAGAUUAAUUGACCUAACCGACGGUCUGUAAGACCACCCAAUGCGUCCCUGAGAUCACUCCUCACGUGUCAACGACGACGGAACUCGCGAAGCGGAAUAGCACCAGCACCAACAAAAAUUCCACUCCUCGGUGAAUUUCCUGAUUACCUGUCGCACCACUCUAUCCAUACUGUUGGAAGAUAUUCAGAAAACUGAAGCACCGUGCGGAAUGCUGAAUUAUAGUGACGUUUUGCGUUAUAGCUGGCUUAUAUAGAGAGCUCGCCUACGCCUACAAAGAUUCAUUUCCUGUCGGGCACGGAUCCUUCUCCAGUACGAGGAUGAUCCGCGUGGAUAUCCCCCCGUGUAUAAAACUGGGGGUCUCCCCUUGUACUCCAGUUCACAUAGGAACGCCAACCGUGUGGAAAGCCCGCGCUUUAUUUCCCAUUGUUUCAGGUGUCUGGCAUGUGCGAUUUUGGGGCGGCGCUGCUGUAUGAGAGGAACGCGUCUUCCAGAGCGGAGAAAGCUGAUUACUUCACCGCGUGGGACACAGCCUUCCAGCGGAUCUAACAUCAGGACUAAUUAGCCAAUCGGGCCUUAAUUAAGACACAGGACCAUUGUCCAUCCUCUUAAUCUUGUGGCGUAACACUUCUCUAAAUUUUCUUCCCAUAUCCUUAUACCAUACUAAGGAAUGACGCACAAUUUUAGGUUAUGCCGGUUUAAUAUAAGGAGAAGCGGUGAAAUGAUUUCAUUCGUAUUCUAUCUUUGGUAAAUUGAAGGUAUUGUAGUGUCGAGGAUCUGGAAUUUUAAAGAAGUAUGUGCACGCAUCAGGAAAAAGUCGGGGUCGAGGUUGACGUCGCGAACUUGAUCUGAUCUGUACCGGUUUCUUCUAUCGAGUUGAUUUAUGAAAUGGAUUAGAAGGAGGAAAAAUUAAGAGUGACUGAUGGUCGAGGAUUAGAUUGGAAUAUAUGAUGCUGAUGAUCAGUUGGUUAUGAAAGUAGCUAAUUAAGGUAAUUACUGAUAUUUAAAAGAGGUACCAAAUGUCAGUAUAAUAGGCAGUACCAUACUAAUAUGAUCAGCUAUUUUCGAGCGUUAUUUACAAGUCAUGAAUUAAUCAAAUUUAGCUUCAGUUAUGUUUAUAGAAAAAUCCAAUACUUAUCAAUAUUUGAAAAAUUUAAAGUAGAAGAAAUGAAUAGCUGAAGCGCAUAAAUAGAUAAAUGAAUGUGCAAAGUAUGUACUGAUAGUUAACAUUUAUGUGAUCGUAGUCUCGUUUCACCCGUUACAUUCUUUUAAUUUGAUAUUCGUCAGAUUAAAGAUUACCAAUAUUAGAACUGAUCUCUACUGUACUUUAAAAUUAGUAUUAUUGUUAAAUAUUAAUAUUCGUAUCAAUAAUUAUGUAUGAAUACUAAUGAAAUGCUUUAUAUCUCCAUCUUAUAUACAUGACAGCCAAAAAAAAAUAUUUUGAUAGAGUGUUUGCUACUCCGUGAAGACAAUCGAAGUUGCGUCAGAGUACAGAGGGAGAUUUAUUUAUUCCAUCGUCGACAGACCGCAACGCAUCUCCGCGAAUGUCCAUAGUCUUGGUCAAUAAUAUUAUACACGCAACGACGCAUGUCAAGGAAUGGCACGAGUUUGUGUUUAACGCAAAUGUGUAACGCAAACGAACGCUGGAUGGGACAAGAUCGGCACGCGGCCCUAUUUAGAAAGUAUCCUCCGUAUUUGAAUGGCGUUAAAAUCAUCUUUCGAACUGGUCAUUUCACCUAUGCGACUAUGUUAUUACAUUACUGUGAAUAAUCACGUUUCGUAAUUCAUCUCCGUUGAAUCCUGCUUCUUCUCAACCGGUGAAUGAUGACAUUUUAUUUAUCUGGUUCAUUCAAGCAAUAUUUAUAGUCUUGUUUCAGUUUAUCGAGGUUACCAGAAAGAAAAUCUAAUAAUUUAUUAGUAAUAAAUAUGAUGGUACUAAUUUGAGUGAUUUAUGGGAUGCCUCCCAUGGUGGUAUACUCUGGGAGUGCACAUUAUUAACCUAAUUGAAGGGUCGGACAAUGCAGUUCUAUAAAUGGUUGGUCCAACGAAGUAAUAAAUCCACAAUCAUAAUAGUUUUACAUUCUACUAGUUAUAGUUACAAUUUCUAAGGCGUGAAAUUUUACUUGACAUGUGAGUAUGAAUAGAUAAAUAUUGGCAAUAUUCUUCUAAAUUAUAGAAUAACAUCGAAAGGUGGUAAUUAAUUAAGUCAUUCACCAGUCAAACAACUGAGAACAGUUUUUCAUGUCCUAGGACCUCUUUGAAGUUAGGCAAACGCAACGAAAUUAAUAAUAAUCGUUAAUCUUGUUUAGGACAAUAGGCGUAAUCAUGAGCUUACGAUCUAAUCUCUCGGAUCAAUGAGUCAAAUAAACCUAAUCAAGACCGGUUUAUUGUUUAUUUAGUGUGCGAAUUCUCACUUUCGAUUCCUUUCGUAACCUUUCCCUGAUUGUUCACCGUUACGUGAACGGAAACAAUUGCGUUGCGAUAAACACAUGCUCCCUCUAGGGACUAUUUGCUUAAUUAACAAUUCUUAGAAGAUUUCGGGGUAAUUCGUGCUCUAGUUACCGAAAAGUUGCCACUUCAUUGUUUCACUGAAAAAUUGUUUGGUCCCACCCUUAUUACGUAACGUACAAAUUUGCAUUAUCUUUGUUAAGAAAUUCUAUAAAAAGAAACAUUACCUUCUGGUGUUAUUAUAAUUUAUAUUUUAUUACAAUUUAUGAUUUAUAACUUAUACUAUUUGAUAUUAUAUAUCUUUGUUAUCAUGAUCCCUGGUAGCAUAUAUGUAAUGAAUGAUAGGAAAUUAAUUAUUUGCAGAAAUGGAAUAUAAAAGAUUUACAAUUUUUUUCCUAUUAAAUAAGAUUAAGAUUUUUAAUUUAGUAAAAUUAUAUAAAUUAUGAUUCAGCUUUUUAUGUUAAUCAUAUUUCUCCAUUUUCAGAAUUCUUCAGAUAUCAUAGUAGAAUUUAUAUGUAGAUAAUAAGAAGAUAAAACAUGAUACAAAUGCUAUAGGAUCUUCCUACUUUCUCCAGACGAUUAAAAAGGAUUCUGCAGACGAUCUAUUUAGAUAAUCUUUUUCUCUCUGAAGCAUGAUAGACAAGGUCAUUAUGCGCUCAAAGGAUGCUCUAAAUUCGUUUCAAUUUUACGCAACGCAUCCUUCAGCACAAUUUGACCGAUCUCCUCUUUCUCUCCUCUGUAUGUAUAUGGUUUGAUGUUACCAUAUCUCAUUGUGAAACAGCGUGAUGUGAAUAAUGAAUUAACUGGACGAAGAAAAGGCAUCAUCCCAGUGGGCGCCUAACAAAAAGUCCAUUAUUUCAUCAUAGUUGGCGUCACGCGACCCCUUCGAUCUGACAUCGAGAUCGAAAGUAAAUCAAGGAUGCAUAUAAAAGUGCUUAAGCACUUUCAAGUCAGUUUUACGUAAAGAUGAAUCGAAAGGAAUCGCGAGCUUCUCAGAAGCCGAAUGUAUCAACUCCUCACUUUUUGUAAAAUUUUCACUUAUUCUAUUCUUUUUUUAUUCACACAUGUAUAUCCUAUUUAACUUUAAAAAUAAUAAUAUAUAGAUAAUAUAGGAUAAAAUUAA